RNAcentral lists this ribosomal RNA (468 nucleotides) under uncultured soil bacterium. RNAcentral describes it as "bacterial SSU rRNA". It matches the Rfam family "Bacterial small subunit ribosomal RNA", at positions 26 to 513 of the family's 1533-position model. The record is from RNAcentral.
AGGAUUAACGCUGGCGGAGUGCCUAACACAUGCAAGUCGAGCGGCAGCGCGAGUAGUUUACUACUUGGCGGCGAGCGGCGGACGGCUGAGUAACGCGUGGGAACGUGCCCCAAAGUGAGGAAUAACUGCCCGAAAGGGUAGCUAAUUCCGCAUAUGAUCGUUCGGAUUAAAGGAUUUAUCCGCUUUGGGAGCGGCCCGCGUCAGAUUAGGUAGUUGGUGAGGUAAAGGCUCACCAAGCCGACGAUCUGUAGCUGGUCUGAGAGGAUGACCAGCCAGACUGGAACUGAGACACGGUCCAGACUCCUACGGGAGCAGCAGUGAGGAAUCUUCACAAUGGAACGAAAGUCUGAUGGAGCAACUCCGCGUGCAGGAUGAAGGCCUUCGGGUACGUAAACUUGUCUUUUAGUGAAGUGAAGAAUAUAGACGGUAACUCAUAGAAUAAGGUCGACGUAACGUACGUGACCCGUA